AGGAUACUGACUGCAGCUGCCCAGCUGGGUGGCCUCAGUGGCUUCCCAGCCGUGGGCCGCAGUCAUGAAGAUUUAGCUCUCUUCCCUGCAUUCCCGAAUGCAUAUUUUAAUUGCAAAGUGACAAAUCCAGUUAUCUCUCAAAGGGUUGAGUGGGGGCAGGGGAGGGAGGCAGCAGAGCUCUGCUGCCAAAACUAGAUAGAGAAUCUGCAGCCUGUCCAGACAGUAGGACAAGCAAGCCUACCCCACCUGGUGCUGCCACCCAGUGCACAAAAGAGCAGCAAGAGAAAGUUCAAGAAGCAGGUAGAGGGAGAGCUUCAAAGAAUUACAAAGGGGGUGUGUAUGGAGGGGUGUGUGUGUGCCUCUGAGCCUCUGCUUUGAGACUGGGGGCAGAGCUGAAAGCAGAUGGCUUUAGGGACUCAGAACUUGGAAGGAGAAGGGUGGAGCUGCUUGAGAUGAAGCCGGAGGGCCACUGCCUCAAGUGCCCAGGCAGGUGGGGCACAGGGCUGGUUUGCAUUGGCCCUGUGGCCAGCUUCAGUCCCUCUGGUGGGCAGGGGCCCUGCUGGGGGCUGAAUGCCUGCUUCCCAUUCCUGGCUUCAGCUCUAUUAACCAGAGAUCUUGGCACGACCCAGCAUCUCCCUAAACCUCCGUGUCCUCAUCUGCACCUCCCAGGGUGAGAGAAUCAAGUACAUUAAUUCAUGGGAAGCACUUAGCCGUUUCUGGCACAGGUUAGUACUCAAUGUUACUGUAUUCACAGAGCAAUGGUAUUAGGACUCACUUAACAUUUUUUUUUUAAUGGCGGCUCACAUCUUAAAUUACUGUUUUAAAAGGAAGCUUCAUGUUACUAUUGUAAAUGGAAAGCCAGCACUACUUGCCGUUCACAGUAGGUAUUCGUACACAUGAAUUCAGGACAGAAAAACGAAUGAUAUUCCAUUUUAGCUAGUCACUGCUGUUGUCCAAGCCCUUAGCCUGAUGCCUGCUUUCUUUGUUAAAACAAAAGUCAGUUUAUGAAGAUUGGGAGUGGUACUGAAGCCUCACUGGCCCCUCACUGAGACAUUCUCCUCAAUGGAUUCAGAGGACGGAAGAGAAAUGAAAGAAGAAUGACUUCCUCACCGUAUGAUUCGGUGCUGUGUUUGUAAAUUGUUUAUAAUCGUCGUGUGCACCACUCCAAAUUGUUUCACACCCUGGCAGCUUUGAGCCCAACGAAUCCUGAGAAAUCACUUCCUUCUGAUGAAGUGGCUAAAAUCUGGACGCUGUCAGCAAGAGAACAUACAAGCCAACCACAAGCGCCUGUGACAGGGUGUUCCUCUUCCUCUGAUAGUGGUUCUCAACCCAGCCACACCACCAGUUCAUCUGGGCAGCUUUAAAACAUGCAGCCUGGGUUCCAGUUCCAGAGCCAUGAGCCAGCCUUCCUCCAGUCCCAGACAGAGGCCCUGGCCCUUUGUCAAAACUUGGGAACUGCUCUGCAAACUGCAUGAGAAGGCAUGAGUAGGCAUGAGUCACCAGCCCAACUAAAGAGAGGAGGGGACCCCAAAAGCAGAGCCCAUUCUUCCUGCCUUGACUGGGUUGGAUCCUGGCGACUUCUCUUUCACCUGUGCACUCAGGAACAUUAUUCUCAAGUUGUAAGUGCAGGCAGCUCUACCCCGCAGCAUGUGUGGGAUAAAGAAGGAGGGAAGAAAGAAAGGAGGGAGGAGGCGGGGAGGGAGGGAGGAAUGAAAGAACCUAGGUCAGUAGUAUAAAUGUAGCCCUGAGCCGGGCGUCCCAAGGCUCCCCGUGACAUCUGCCUGUAUCCCAGCAUCUCUUUUAAAUGAAGAAGCAGCCUUCCUUGAAGACCCACCAGCUGGGAACUGCUGCCCACUCCUGAAGCCUGGGGAGGGCUUCUCUCUUCCUCCUCUGCUCCACUUGCUUCUCCUUGGAGUCAGGUGACAGGGCAGGCCCAGCCCAGGGUGCAAAGGGUGCAGUGACCCUGGGACACAGGGAUGUCAUGGGAGUGACUCAUUGUGGCCUCGCAGCUCAGGAAGGGGAUGCAUGUGCUGUCUCCUUGCCUCUGCCUUAUUCCAGGGGAGUUAGACUCUUGCCUUUUGCUCCCAAGCCCUUGAGAAACCAGGGCCGGAUCUACUUGGGCUGUAACUACCAGUGCCCUGGUUAUGCUGGAGUUAGAAACUCAAAUGCCCUCAGGGACCAGAUAGGUGCCAGAGAACCGUGUGAAGCAGCUGGGUCCCAGGCACCAGGGAGGGGUGUGGUCUGUGGAGGACUGGACGGGGCAGACCCUCCUAAAGGCUUCGUGGAGCUGCACAACACCUUGCGGGGUAAGGCCGCUGCCACUGCAGCAGGGAUAUUGGCGCUCCUCCUGGCUCAGAGCAGGCCCUGGGGUCUAUGUACUGGCUCCUCCUCCCCCAGGAGCUGCGUGGCCUCAGGGAAUUUAGCCCCUCCCCUAAGCCUCAGUUUUCUCUAUAAAUGGGGAAAAUAAUGCCCUCUCGUGGGGUUGACAUGCAGGAAAAGGGGAAGUUUUAUAUUCCUUACAUAUUUCAUACUGAUAUGUUCUUGAUAUAGCACCUCUAUUUGUUUUCUGUGCUGUGUCACAAAUCACCAAAAAUUUAGCAGCUUAAAACAACACACAUUUAAUAUCUCACAGUUUCUGGGCAUGGCUUAGCAAGUCCUCUGCAGAGCUGGCGACAGUGCCAGUCAGAGCUAGAGUCUCAUCUGGAGGCUUAACGGGGGAGGGUCCACUUCCAAGCCCCCUAGAUUACUUAUUGAAAGAAUAAGCUGCACUUUCUUGCGGGUAUAGGACUCAUUGCAACUUGUUUCUUCACAGCUAGCAAUGGAGAGAGACUCCAGAGCUAGCUCUAGGCAUCGCCUCCCCUUUGCCGCAUUCUGUUGGUUGGAAGCCGUUCACAGGCCCCACUCACCUGGGGAGGGGAUCACAGAAACGCAUGAACACCAGAGGCUGGGAUCAUGGGGUCACGUUAAGUCCAUCUACCAUAGCUCCUGAUAGCUUGAUGGCCACGAUUACAAUUGAUUGGGUGCCUACCAUGUACCAGGCAGGGUGUAGAGGAUUUCACAUUUAUUAUCCCGUCUAUUUAAGUUGUUGUAUUGAUAACCUAGACUCAGAAAGGCCAGGCAACUUACCUGAACUCACUCAGCUAUUAAGUGGCGGGAUUUAAACCCAGGUCCCUCUGCUCCCCGUGUCUUGGGUCUUCCUUGGACAUUACACUCAAGGCCACAGUCAGCAUCAAGCUGUCCCCGAGGAGUCCUCCAAUACCUUAAGGUACUUGUUUCAGAAGUCACUUAUCUCCCAGGGCCUGUUCAGUCAGGCCCUGUCCUUGGCUGCUGAGUCUCUGUCUCACCUUCCUUCGGCUCUCUCCUCAGAUGUCUCAGAAAUGGUUCAAGCUUCUUGUCCCUUGAUUUGUCUGUCCAAUGAUUCUUCUGUCUCCUCUCAACUCCUUCCUGCUUAAUCAGCUAAUUCCACAAAUAGCCACUGAUACUCCCUUCUAUAGGAAGACCCUGUGCUGGGUGCUGCCCUCCAUCUUCCCCCAGGGUUCUUACAGUCUAAUGAAGAGGCGGUGUGUGCAACACUAACUCCAGUUCAGCAGUUCAACGAAAACAACACCAUCUUUAGACAAUAUAAAAGUCAUUUUCUCUCUGUAAGUUAGGAAUAGAGAAUACAGAGGGGGCUUAGGUACCUUCACAAGGUUAUCAGGAAUGCAGGCCCCUCAUCCAGCAGCUGUGCCUCAUCGUUCAAGAUGGCUGCAAAGCUCCAGCCAUUGUGCUGUCAUUCCCAUCAGCAGGAAGAAGAAAGAGGCAAAGACAAAUCAUCCCUGACCACCCAGACGAGGUUAGAAGCUCCAAGAAAUCUGGCAUCGUGUCUCUCUUCUUUGCUGUUCUAGUCCUGCGGUCCACCGCAGUGCUUGGCAUGUGUGUCCUUCCACGCCCCUGACUUGUUCCAUGCAGUCAAUGCACGCCAACCCUGAGAGCUUCUGCUCGGUGGCCAUUUUCCUUAAGCGUCUUUGGAGAAACAGUGACAGUGAGAGGGUAAGGUGGAAAUAAUGAGCACAGUGAAUCCAGGCAAAAGAGGUAGGUUAGAAGGGGGAGAAGUACCAGAAAGGGAGGAAUGAGAGGUGGGCAGACUGGGGGAGCUCGAAGGGAGAGGGAGAGGUGGAGGGUGAAAGUUGGUCACCAGAGAAAGCCAACCCGUGAGUCCGCAGCAGGAGUAUUCCUCUGGUGUUAAUGCCCUUUAUAAAUCACUCCGGAGCUCCAAACCCAAAACAGGCCUCUUCUUUCUCUGCCAAGUAGAAAAUGUGUUCGCCAACAUAAAAACAUAUUAAGUACAUUGUGGCCCUCAUUCCCCCCAAGUUGAAAGCCAUUACAAUAAUUAAUUAAGGCAGGAGAUUAAUUAAAGAGUCGUUUCCCCCCAUUCUCUCCGAAUAGAUCAAUCAGGAGGCGGGAGAACAUGUGCUACUCGGCAGACAGAGAAGGGGGGCCGGAGGGGAGGCCGAGGGGCAGCAAGGCAGUUACAGACGCAGCCAGAGACAAAGGACUUCCGUGCUGGGGGCUGGGGGCCGGGGCUGAGAGGAGCUGGCAAGGAGGCCCCCAGGAGGGAGAGCUUGCUCUGCUUCCAAGGACCUGUGAUCUGACUUCCCUUCUUGGUGUUCGCAGCCUGAGGGUCGCUGUCACCAUGGAAACAGGCCUGGGGGCAGGAGGAAUAUCAGCCCUCUGCUCCUGGACUCCUGGAUUCCCCUCUGGGAGUGAGAGUUCCCAGUGAGCAGAGUUAAGGCCCCAGGAGGCGUUUCUGUGGAGUGGCAUGAGGGGUGGUGGCCUCCCCACUCCAGUGCCAAGCCCAAAACCAACUCCACACGAGCAUUGUCAGGCUGAUGACAAGCCUGAAAGAUUUGUUCCUCACAUGUGCCACACUGCAGACAGGACAGGCUAGUAUUAGCUCAGGCUGAGAAUCAUUAGUCUUUUAGGUAACUUUUCUCAUUUUGCUAAAUUUUGAGUUCUUAAUGAUUGCUUUCUCCCUUUCUCUCUCUCUUUCACUCUCUUUCUUAUGCCUUUGGCUGAUCUUUUUUCUAGCUGAAUUUCAUAUUUCUAAGAAAUGUUCAUAUCAUGUAGUGUGUUUCAUGUGUGCAUAGUGGGUUUAACCCAUUCCACCCUGUGUCUCUGUCUUGCUUACUUUUGAGCCUUCCAGAACUUUCCGAUUGUUCAAAAGCACCGCUCUUGUGUUUCUAUAUUUUUUAUGAUCUUUUUCAUAUUUCUAAUACACAUUAGAAAGGGGUGGUGCUCCAUAGAUGAUUCCCCAUGAUAUCCCUGGUAUCGUUUCCUCCUUUCUGUUGUUUUAUUUUGGGUUUUUAUAUCUUUGUGCCUGUGUGGACUUAGCAGGCGGUUAGCUCUUCUGUUGAGAGGAGAUGGUUCAGCAGAGUUGGGUGAUGAGGGAGCAGCUCAUCCAGCAUCUGCUCUGCCGCUUACAAAGUGUAACUCAGAAUCACAAAGCAGCACACCUUUUACUCACUCUGUCAUUAUGAAUGGGGGCUUAGUAGGCACCAGGCUUUGGAAACGCUUGGUGGACAAGACAGAUGUGGUCCCUGCCUUCUGGGGGAUGACAGUCUGGUGGGAGAGAUAGACAUCAAACAAUAAAUACACAAGAAUAUAGCCACAAAUUGUGAAAAAUACCACGCAGGCAAAACCUAGGUUCUUUGAUAGAGAAUAGCACAUGCCUACUUUAGGCUGGGGGUCAGGAGGAGGUGACAUUUACACUGCAGCAGAAGCCAGCCAGACAAAGUGAGCAGUGAAGAGUGACGGUCCCCAGCAGGAGUGGAGCCAUCAGAAGCUGAUGAAGCUUCAGCCUCGGGGCCCUUCAGUGCACUAGAGCCUCACAAGCCUUUGGGGGUGGCCCUAGCAAUAAUGGGUCCACAUGGUCAUAUGUUUUUGUAAAAAUUGCAAAAAGUUCUUUAACUGAAAUCAGUUAAGAGCACUGACAAGUGGCUGGGUAGGGAACCACUGGGACCUGGCUGAGGAAAUGCUGAGCUGGGGAGUCUAUUUGGGUUUAGGGAGAUGUAUUUACAUGCUUGUGGCACUUCCAUGUAUGGUCAAGGUCAAGGUCAAGGCCAUCGUGGGGUGGGAAUGGCUCCCAGGCACAUUCUUCCUGCCCACUGUGCUGGGCAAGAAGGUGCAGUGUUUGGGGUUGACCAGAGCAGGCCCUUUUGCUGGCGGGGAGUGUGGCAGGUGGGGCAUGGAGCAGCAUGUGGCUGGGAAGGUGCAGAGGCAGCUUCAGGGUCUGGAAUAUUGUUUUGAAUUUAGUGAAGUUUGUGGAAUUUGUCAGCUUUUUAAAACUUGUAAUUUGUUUGGACUUUUCUCAUUCUAAACAAGUUUUCACUU
Non-coding RNA from Macaca mulatta (Rhesus monkey), 6369 nucleotides. The record is from RefSeq and is a predicted model, not a curated record. Lineage: Eukaryota; Metazoa; Chordata; Mammalia; Primates; Cercopithecidae.